AUGAAUUAUUCGUGCCAUGUGAAUCAUUGCUGCUAUACUGCUACUAAUGGAUACAGGGAUGAAAUGCACAGUUUCCUGUCAAGUAGUGUUUGUUUGGUGACAGGAUGCUGUUUUUUCCUUCCAAGUAUAAUGCUCCUUUCAUGUAGUGAUGAUACUACAUCUAUUUCAUUUCAUGUUUAUGCCUCUUCCAGAAAAUGUGCUGCACCUACAAUAAUCAAUCUAACUUAUCCAUUUUAUUUUAUAGGCCUUCGAGUACAAGAGCUGCUGCUUGACUAUAACAGCGAAAAUGUGCAAUGUUGGAUUAAUGAUUGA
This 312-nucleotide ribosomal RNA is filed under the name Triticum aestivum (bread wheat). Its description in RNAcentral is "partial small subunit ribosomal RNA". The record is from RNAcentral. Lineage: Eukaryota; Viridiplantae; Streptophyta; Magnoliopsida; Poales; Poaceae.